Molecule: ribosomal RNA, 497 nt
Filed under: uncultured bacterium
Lineage: Bacteria
Description: partial 16S ribosomal RNA
Rfam family: Bacterial small subunit ribosomal RNA
Source: RNAcentral
GAUGAACGCUGGCGGCGUGCCUAAUACAUGCAAGUCGAGCGAACAGAUAAGGAGCUUGCUCCUUUGACGUUAGCGGCGGACGGGUGAGUAACACGUGGGUAACCUACCUAUAAGACUGGAAUAACUCCGGGAAACCGGGGCUAAUGCCGGAUAACAUUUAGAACCGCAUGGUUCUAAAGUGAAAGAUGGUUUUGCUAUCACUUAUAGAUGGACCCGCGCCGUAUUAGCUAGUUGGUAAGGUAACGGCUUACCAAGGCAACGAUACGUAGCCGACCUGAGAGGGUGAUCGGCCACACUUGAACUGAGGCACGGUCCAGACUCCUACGGGAGGCAGCAGUAGGGAAUCUUCCGCAAUGGGCGAAAGCCUGACGGAGCAACGCCGCGUGAGUGAUGAAGGUCUUCGGAUCGUAAAACUCUGUUAUUAGGGAAGAACAAAUGUGUAAGUAACUGUGCACGUCUUGACGGUACCUAAUCAGAAAGCCACGGCUAACUACGUG